This 610-nucleotide ribosomal RNA is filed under the name uncultured bacterium. RNAcentral's name for it is "bacterial SSU rRNA". It matches the Rfam family "Bacterial small subunit ribosomal RNA", at positions 338 to 944 of the family's 1533-position model. The record is from RNAcentral.
CCUACGGGAGGCAGCAGUAAGGAAUAUUGGUCAAUGGAGGCAACUCUGAACCAGCCAUGCCGCGUGCAGGAUGAAGGCCCUAUGGGUCGUAAACUGCUUUUACACAAGAGAAAACCCGAGUACGUGUACUCGGUUGAUAGUAUUGUGAGAAUAAGCAUCGGCUAACUUCGUGCCAGCAGCCGCGGUAAGACGAAGGAUGCAAGCGUUAUCCGGAUUCAUUGGGUUUAAAGGGUGCGUAGGCGGACCUGUAAGUCAGUGGUGAAAUCUCUUUGCUUAACAAAGAAACUGCCAUUGAUACUGCAAGUCUAGAGUAUAGAUGACGUUGGCGGAAUAUGACAUGUAGUGGUGAAAUACUUAGAUAUGUCAUAGAACACCGAUUGCGAAGGCAGCUAACGAAACUAUAACUGACGCUGAGGCACGAAAGUGCGGGGAUCAAACAGGAUUAGAUACCCUGGUAGUCCGCACCGUAAACGAUGAUUACUCGUUGUUGGCAAUAUGACCGUCAGCGACCAAGCGAAAGCGAUAAGAAUCCACCUGGGGAGUUAGCCGGNAACGGUGAACUUAGAAGUAGAGCGNGNGAGAGCGACGACGACGACGACGGAGGAGGAGG